UUUUUGUUUGUUUGUUUGCUGAGGAAGAUUUGCCCUAAGCUAACAUCUGUGGCCAAACUUCUUCUAUUUUGUGUGUGAGGUGCUGGCA
Ceratotherium simum simum (southern white rhinoceros) is the source of this 88-nucleotide non-coding RNA. The record is from RefSeq and is a predicted model, not a curated record. NCBI's taxonomy places the organism in Eukaryota, Metazoa, Chordata, Mammalia, Perissodactyla, Rhinocerotidae.